UUGGAUAUGUAGUCCCUGGCCAAUCUGGAGGUGCUGGUAGCUCGUCUUCUCAAGGUGGUAGCUGCUGCAGCUAAUCUGUUAACGCCCUUAUGUACAAAGGCAUAUCCGUCGUGUGUCACAUACCAGCUGCUUUAAAUUCCUGUUUCUGAACGUAAAAUGGUUACUGCUCCAGGGUGCUUUGUUAUUUGACGCACCAAUGGAUUCUGUGCCUGAACGAUUUAAGAGAUUCAGUUUAUUUAUGUCAGGUGUUUAUAAACUCUCUGUAAAAAAUCACUAGAUUCUUUACUGUUUUCCGUCAUUUAGCAUUCACGAAUUCUGUCCGUCUGCAUGUGUAAAUGUAAAUAACAUACCUCGAUGCAUUGUUUGGUGUGAAAAUUAAUUUGUCUUAUUCGACUAUACUGUAUGUUGGUACUCCAUGUUUCAGAAAAUAUACGCGUCUCCGAUACUAUGCAUGAGCUUAUCAAACUAUGAUCGGGACAAAUACUGAACAGUGAAAUACUCUGCUUCCAGAGGGACAGAGCUUCCGUUUAGGAUUGUCUAUGACCCGUCCAAUUACUGGAUAGUCAAAUACCGUCUGUUUCAAUUAUAAGUCGUUUUUACUUUUUCUUUUUUUUUGACACGUCUACUUUAAAGUAUAAUAAGUUGCUUCAACUUUUUAUGCUAUAUAUAUCUGCUGCAUCAUGUAUCUAGAUAUAAUAUAAUAAAAUUAAUGUACCAAAAAAUCAAAAUGUCUUAUAAUUUGAUUGAAACUGAGGGAGUGCUCUCCUUUAAGGAGAGAACUUCCGUUUAGGAUUUUGGUAGCUUUUCUGCGUAAUAGGUUAGGGGGUGUUUAGUAAAAAAUAAUGCAAAAUGCAAAAUACCAACUAUUGGAAUGAUGGAAUAUAAAAUGCUAAAAUUUCUAGGAUCAUGUUUAGUUCCAUCUAAAAUGCAGAAUUUAUUGCCCUAGGGCCUUUUGAGACUCUUUUGGGCUUUUUCUUGGCCUCUUGAGCCCAAAAUCUAAAAUGAAAAUAACUACCUUUUGCUAAAAUUUUUUUGCAUUAUAUUUAGUUUAAUUUUGCAAAAUAAUGAACUCAAACCCAAAUUUUUUUGAAUACAAGGGGACUAAACACCCCCCUAAUAUAUAUAGUUUUGCCUGUAAGUGUGCUUCGAUGAUUGCAUCUUGCUGGCUUUGUAGUUAAAAUCACAAGGGUCGUCCAGCCGAGAGAAAGAAAAGAAGCAAAAGAAAGAAAACAAAAGAAAUAAGAAGUGAAAAAAACGAAGGCAUCUAGCCGAGAAAAAGAAAGAAGGGGAAAAAAAUAAAUAGUAAAAAGUAGAGAGAGAGAGAGAAAAAAGAAAGAAAGGGAAACAAGGUUUGCAGGUAUUGCAUCGGCCUUACUCUAGUUUAAAAUCACAAAGGCUCCCCCCCUCCACACACACACACACACAGAGAGAGAGAGAGAGAGAGAGGUAAAUAAAAGAAAAGAAAGAAAAUAGGUUGGCAGGUAUUUGAGGUAGGGCUUGUAGUAAAAGUUUUAUCGUCAGACGAAGAAGCGCCAACAAAUCAGUUGGCGAAUACUACUACAGCAGUUCAUAUAGUUUUGCCAAGAUACAUCCAAUGCCUUUUUGAAACUAAGGUACAUCCAGUUAAGCAGACAAACAACGAUGAAGAGUUGAUGCCAAAACCAUCAUGGAAUCGGUUGCCAAACGAACAAGGCGAUGGCUGAAAUUACUGUUGACUAAUUUAUUUUGAGAUAAAAACACUGCUGUCUAAAAAAGUCUACUACACUUACAUACACUAUACACCAAGCAACAGAAACUUACAAGUAAUUUACUGCUACUCUGCUGCCUCCACGGAGGAGGUUGCACGCCUGCAGCGGCGGCCAGCGCAGACCAAGAUCCCCAGGUGGCUCAGUCAGUUAAUUAGUCAGUUGGUACCUGGCUGUUGUGUUGCAGUCGAAGCAGGUGUGGUUGCGGCCGAGGUCCUUGAUCCUGUCGUAGCCGUGCCUGAAGAUGCCGAGGCCGAAGAGGACGCCGACGAGGAGGCAGAUCACCAGGAUCACCAGCAGGUAGCACCCCACAUGCUCCUUGCUGAACUUGAGCUUGCACAUGGCGUCUCUCUGGACUGACUACCUGACUGUUAUGUUAGGGAGAUGAUCCCAGUCGCGAGGGUAACCGGUUCUUAUUCGCUAGGCAAGUGUCGCUAUACGCCCCCUGUCCGUUCAAUUCGGCGGUAUGGCGACGGUAUCGCUUACAGGUGAAGCUACAGGCUACAGCGAGGGGGCAGAGCUGUGAGGUACUCCUAUCAGCGACCCUAGUGACGAGCCUUUUGCCUUUGUGCCAUGCCAAGAAUAAUAAAUGAAGAAUCUGAUCGCCGCGGACUGUAUGGACUAUAACCCACGACACAUGGACAUGGCUCUCUUUUUCUACGACUGUACGAAUAAUUUGUAAAGCCAGGAGAAGGCACAGAC
Molecule: long non-coding RNA, 2447 nt
Filed under: Sorghum bicolor (sorghum)
Lineage: Eukaryota; Viridiplantae; Streptophyta; Magnoliopsida; Poales; Poaceae
Description: long non-coding RNA (SBIC_LNC011272)
Source: RNAcentral